AUGGCUGUCGUCAGCUCGUGUCGUGAGAUGUUGGGUUAAGUCCCGCAACGAGCGCAACCCCCGUCGCAUGUUGCCAGCAUUUAGUUGGGGACUCAUGCGAGACUGCCGGUGACAAGCCGGAGGAAGGCGGGGAUGAGGUCAAGUCAUCAUGCCCCUUAUGUCCAGGGCUACACACGUGCUACAUUGGCGCGUACAGAGGGUUGCGAUACCGCGAGGUGGAGCGAAUCCCUCAAAGCGCGUCUCGGUUCGGAUUGCAGGCUGAAACCCGCCUGCAUGAAGGCGGAGUUGCUAGUAAUCGCGGAUCAGCACUGCCGCGGUGAAUACGUUCCCGGGCCUUGUACACACCGCCCGUCACACCAUGGGAGUGAGCAACACCCGAAGCCGGUCGCCUAACCCGCAAGGGAGGGAGCCGUCGAAGGUGGGGCUCGCGACUGGGGUGAAGUCGUAACAAGGUAGCCGUAGCGGAAGCUGCGGCUGGAUCACCUCCUUUCUAGGGAGCCCUCACAGGGCACCGGUCGCCGGAGGAUCGUCACCUGGCUCGCAAGAGCCCGUGACGCUCUCCUCGAGCGCGGCCGGCCACUAGAAAUGUCGACCGAAUCUGGCAGGCCGCACAGGCGAGCUCAACGAGCUCGCCUUCGAGGCGGCUCGCAUGCUGUUGAGUUUUGAGAGACCGGCUCGCCGCCGGUGGCUCGCUGGACUUGUGUCCCGGGCUUCCAAGUGGCGAGUUUCGCCUCUUCGCGGACCUUGAAAACUGCACAGUAGCCAAUGACACGGGUAUCACCGGGCGAAGCCGUAAGGCUUCACCCAGAUCACCGUCAAGAUAGUAAGGGCACAUGGUGGAUGCCUUGGCACCAGGAGUCGAAGAAGGGCGUGAACGGCUGCGAUAAGCCGCGGUUAGGCGCUGAAUAGCCGUUGACCCGCGGAUGCCCGAAUGGGGAAACCCGG
Molecule: small RNA, 945 nt
Filed under: uncultured Solirubrobacterales bacterium
Lineage: Bacteria; Bacillati; Actinomycetota; Thermoleophilia; Solirubrobacterales
Description: bacterial SSU rRNA
Rfam family: Bacterial small subunit ribosomal RNA (bases 1-490)
Source: RNAcentral